ACAAAAAGCAUCACAAACACAACAAACAUAUAGUGGUUCGGUGCACCCCAGCACCUACAUCCACUCCCCAAGACCUCUUGGAAAUUUCACUAUAAUCCUCCAGAUUACAGUCGGUUGUUUUACAAGCUCACAACCCAACUUGUUGUUUUGCGAGAUCACAACGAACUCGGUCGGUUUUCACAGGCUUACCGACUAGAACCAACCGAUUGUUUUUCCGGGUUCACAAUCAAACCCAGUUGGUUUUCCCAAAGGCUCACCAACCACAACCUUACAACGAUUGUUUUCCGGGUUCACAAUCAACCCAGUUGGUUU
RNAcentral lists this long non-coding RNA (312 nucleotides) under Phoenix dactylifera (date palm). RNAcentral's name for it is "long non-coding RNA (PDAC_LNC006367)". Lineage: Eukaryota; Viridiplantae; Streptophyta; Magnoliopsida; Arecales; Arecaceae. The record is from RNAcentral.